GUGGGCCAGGCGAAGGUGCCACAGCGCGCGGCCCAGGCGCUGCUGCUGCAGCAGGAGCUGGCCCGGGGGCUCCCCGGCGCCGCCGUUUACAGGCGAGCGCAGGCCCAUGUUCUCGAAGUAGUGAGCCAGGAAGGCGAUCGGCUCCUCGGGCCGCGCCUCCAGCACCUUCAGCAGGGCCGCACGUAGCAUUUCCGUCACGCCGACCUGCCGCAGGAAGUCCUCCUCGCUCUCGGCCGCCCCCGCCGCCCGGGAUACCGACUGGCGGCCGCUGUCCGUGAAACCUGCCGGCGGUGCUACCGCUUGCCGCCGCUUCUCCACUGCCGCCAUCUUCGCUGAGGGCAGCGGGACCGGAAGUACCGCCAUAUUCCACUGUGGGCUAGAGCCCCCCCAAGGCGGCCAUCUUGAUUAAGGGCAGAGGGCACCGGUAUCCCACUGGGAGACUUUGGGAAGUGACAAGCGCCUACCUCUCCUGCCUCAGUCUCCGCAUCUGGGUGAAGGGCUUGGACCAGAACCUCUCCAAGCCCCUUCCCUGGACCACACUGCUGCAGUUUCGCUCUUGUCGCCCAGGCUGGAGUGCAGUGGUGUGAUCUCAGGUCACUGCAACUUCCACCUCACACGUUCAAGUGAGUCUACUGCCUCAGCCUUCCAAGUAGGUGGGACCACAGGCAUACGCCACCACGCCCGGCUAAUUUUUGUAUUUUUAGUAGAGACGAGAUUUUGCCAUGUCGGCCAGGCUGGUCUCAAACUCCUGACCUCAGGUGAUCCACCUGCCUCGGCCUCCCACAGUGCUGGGAUUACAGGCGUGAGCCCCCGCGCCCGGCCUUGUUUUAUGUUUCAUAUGAUUUAUUUU
Molecule: non-coding RNA, 850 nt
Filed under: Pongo abelii (Sumatran orangutan)
Lineage: Eukaryota; Metazoa; Chordata; Mammalia; Primates; Hominidae
Source: RNAcentral